UUUAACUAUACGGACCUUUGUUGGCAAGGUGAUGUCUUAAAAAGGAGAGACAUCACCUUGCCAACAAAGGUCCGUACAGUGGUA
This 84-nucleotide microRNA precursor is filed under the name Podarcis lilfordi (Lilford's wall lizard). The record is from RNAcentral. Lineage: Eukaryota; Metazoa; Chordata; Lepidosauria; Squamata; Lacertidae.